AAGAGAAGAGGUUGUAGGUAGUGGAUUUGGACCUGAGAAAGAGAAGGUUGUAGGUUGCUGAUUUGGACUGUAGAGAGAGGAAGGAGGUAGCUCAUGUAUACUGUAGAGAGAGGAAGUAGAAAGCUGAUUUGGACAGGCGGGAGAAGAUGAAGGUAGCUGAUUUGGACUGGAGAGAGAUGUAGGUAGCUGAUUUAGACUGGAGAAAGAGGUUAUAGGUAGCUGAUUUGUACCGGAGAGAGAAUAUGUAGGUAGCUUAUUUGAACUGGGAAGAAAGUUUGUAGGUAGCUGAUUUGGACUGGUGAGAGAGUUUAUAGGUAGCUGAUUUGGACUGGAGAGAGAAGAAGAUUUGGACUGGUGAUAGAGGAAAUAGGUAGCUGAUUAUGAAUGGAAAGACAAGAAGUAAGAAGCAGAUUUGAAAUGGAGAGAGAGGAUGUAUGUUGCUGAUUUGGACUGGAGGGAGUGGAUGAAGAUAGCUGAUUUUGACUGGAGAGAGAGGAAGUAGGUAGCUGAUUAGGACUGUAGAGAGAGGAAAUAGGUAGCUUAUUUGGACUGGAGAGAGAGAAAGUAUGUAGAUGAUUUGGACUGGAGAAAGAGGAAGUAGGUAAUUGAUUUGGAUUUGAGAAAGAGGAGAUUAUAGGUAGCUGAUUUGGACUAGAGAGAGAGAGCGAGAGAGGAGGUAGGUAGCUGAUUUGGACUGGAGAGAAAGGAGGUUGUAAGUAGCUGAUUUGAGACUUGAGAGAGAGGACGUAGGUAGCUUAUUUGGACUGGAGAGAGAGGAGGCUGUAAGCAGCUGAUUUGGACUGGAGAGAGAGGAAGUAAGUAGUUGAUAUGGAAUGGCAAGAGAGGAAGUAGGUAGCUGAUUUGGACUGGACAGAGAUGAGGUUGUAGAUAGCUGAUGUGGACUGGAGAGAGAAAUGCCGUUGGUAGCUGAUUUGGACUGGAGAGAGAGGUUGUAUGUAGCUGAUUUGGACUGGAGAGAGAAGAUGAUUUGGACUGGAGAAAGAGGAAGUAGGUACCUAAUGUGGACUGGACAGAGAGGAAGUAGGUAGCUGAUAUGGAAUGGAGAGAUAGGAAGUUGGUAGCUGAUAUGGAAUGGAGAGAGAGGGAGUAUGUAGCUGAUUUGGACCGGAGAGAGAUGAACUAGGUACCUGAUUUGGACCUAAGAAAGAGGAGGUUGUAGGUAGCUGAUUUGGACUGGAGAGAAAGGAGGUUGUAAGUAGCUGAUUUGAGACUUGAGAGAGAGGACUUAGGUAGCUUAUUUGGACUGGAGAGAGAGGAAGUAAGUAGCUGAUAUGGAAUGGCAAGAGAGGAAGUAGGGAGCUGAUUUGGACUGGACAGAGAUGAGGUUGUAGGUAGCUGAUGUGGACUGAAGAGAAAAAUGCCGUAGGUAGCUGAUUUGGACUGGAGAGAGAGGUUGUAUGUAGCUGAUUUGGACUGGAGAGAGAAGAUGAUUUGGACUUGAGAAAGAGGAGGUUGUAGGUAGCUAAUUUGGACUGGAGAGAUAGGAAGUAAGUAGCUGAUAUGGAACGGAGAGAGUGGAAGUAGGUAGCUGAUUUGGAAUGGAGAGAGAGAAGGCUGUAAGUAGCUUUUUUGGACUGGAGAGAGGUUGUAGGUAGCUCAUAUGGAAUGGAGAGAGAGGAAUUAGGUAGCUGAUUUUGACUGGACAGAGAUACAGUUGUAAUUAGCUGACGUUGACCGGAGAGAGAGGUUGUUGGUAGUUGAUUUGGACUGGAGAGAGAAGAUGAUUUGGACUGGAAAGAGAGGAAAUAGGUAGAUGAUUUUGACUUGAGAGAGGAAGUAUGUAGCUUAAUUGGACUGGAGAAAGAGGAAGUAGGUAGUUGAUUUGGACUGGAGAAAGAGGAAGUUGUAGGUAGCUGAUUUGGACUGGAGAGAUAGGAAGUAAGUAGCUGAUAUGGAACGGAGAGAGUGGAAGUAGGUAGCUGAUUUGGACUGGAGAGAGAUGUUGUAUGUAAUCAAUUUUGACUGGAGAGAGAAGAUGAUUUGGACUGGAGAAAGAGGAAGUAGGGAGCUGAUUUGGAUUAGAGAGAUAGGAAGUAGGUAGCUGAUAUUGAAUGGAAAGAGAGGAAGUAGGUAGCUGAUUUGGACUGGAGAGAGAAGAUGAUUGGUACUGUGGAAAGUGGAAGUAUGAAGCUCAUGUGGACGGGAGCUAGAGGAAGUCGGUAGCUGAUUUGGAAUGGAGAGAGAGGAAGUAGGUUGCAUAUUUUAACUGGAGAGUGAAUAAGUAGGUAGUUGAUUUGGACUGGAGAAAGAGGAAUUAGGUAGCUGAUUUGGACGGGAGAGAGAGGAAAUAGGUAGCUGAUUUGGACAGGAGAGAGCGGAAGUAGGUAGUUGAUUUUGACUUGAGAGAGAGGAAUUAGGUAGCUUAUUUGAAAUGGAGAGAGUGGAAGUAGGUACCUUAUUUGGACUUGAGAGAGAGGAAGUAGGUUAUUGAUUUUGACUGGAGAAAGAAGAAGUAGAUCAUUGAUUUGGACUUAAUAAAUUGGAGGUUGUAGGUAGAUGAUUAGGACUGGAAAGAGAGUAGAUUGUAAGUAGCUGAUUUUGACUGGAGAGAGUACAAGAAGAAAGAUGAUUUGGACAGGAGAGAGGAAGUAGGUUUCUGAUUUGGACUGGAGAGAGAGGAAGUAGGUAGACGAUUUGGACUGGAGAAAGAGGAAGUAGGUAAUUGAUUUGGAUUUGAGAAAGAGGAGAUUAUAGGUAGUUGAUUUGGACUAGAGAGAGAGAGGAGGUAGGUAGCUGAUUUGGACUGUAAAGAAAGGAGGUUGUAAGUAGCUGAUUUGAGACUUGAGAGAGAGGACGUAGGUAGCUUAUUUGGACUGGAGAGAGAGGAGGAAGUAGGUAUCUGAUUUUUACUGGAGAGAGAGGAGGCUGUAAGCAGCUGAUUUGGACAGGAGAGAAAGGAAGUAAGUAGCUGAUAUGGAAUGGCAAGAGAGGAAGUAGGUAGCUGAUUCGGACUGGAAAGAGAUGAGGUUGUAGGAAGCUGAUGUGGACUGGAGAGAGAAAUGCCGUCAGUAGCUGAUUUGGACUGGAGAGAGAGGAAGUAGUUAUCUGAUUUUUACUGGAGAGAGAGGAGGCUGUAAGCAGCUGAUUUGGGCUGGAGAGAAAGGAAGUAAGUAGCUGAUAUGGAAUGGCAAGAGAGGAAUUAGGUAGCUGAUUUGGACUGGAAAGAGAUGAGGUUGUAGGUUGCUGAUGUGGACUGGAGAGAGAAAUGCCGUCGGUAGCUUAUUUGGACUGGAGAGAGAGGUUGUAUGUAGCUGAUUUGGACUGGAGAGAGAAGAUGAUUUGGACUGGAGAAAGAGGAAGUAGGUAGCGGAUUUGGACAGGAGAGAGAGGAAGUUGGUUACUGAUUUGGACUGGAGAGAGAGGAAGUAGGCAGCUUAUUUGGACUGGAGAAAGAGGAAGUAGGUCAUUGAUUUGUUCUUAAAAUGGGUAGGUUGUUGGUUGCUGAUUUGGACCGGAGAGAGAGGAGGUUGUAAGUAGCUGAUUUGACUGGAGAGAGAGGAGGUUGUAAGUAGCUGAUUUGAGACUGGAUAGAGGGGAAGUAGGUAGUUGAUUUGAACUGGAGAGAGAGGAAUUAGUUAACUGUUUUGGACUUAAAAGAGGAGGUUGUAGGUAGCUGAUUUUGACUUGAGAGAGAGGAAUUAGGUAGCUGAUUUGGAAUGGAGAGAGUGGAAGUAGGUACCUUAUUUGGACUUGAGAAAGAGGAAGUAUGUAGCUGAUUUGGACUGGAGAGAGAGGAGGAUGUAGGUAGCUGAUUUGGACUAGAGAGAGAGGAGGAUGUAGGUAGCUGAUUUGGAUUGGAGAGAGAUAGGUUGUAGGUUGCUAAUUUUGGACUGGAGAGAGACUAGAUUGUAUGUAGCUGAUUUUUACUGGAGAGAUAGGAAGCAUGUAGCUUAUUUGGACUGGAGUGAGAAGAUGAUUUUGACUGGAGAGAGAUGAAAUAGGUAGAUCAUGUGGACUGGAGAGAGAGGAAGUUGAUAGCUUAUUUGGACUGGUGAGAGAGGAAGAAGGUAGCUGAUUUGGAAUGGAGAGAGAGGAAGUAGGUAGCUUAUUUGGACUGGAGAGAGAGGAAGUAUGUACAGUAGCUGAUUUGGACUGGAGAGAGAGGAAGUCGGUAGCUGAUUUGGACUGGAGAGAGGGGAGGUUGUAGGUAGCUAAUUUGGACUGGGGAGAGAAAGAUUGUAGGUUGCUGAUUUGGACUGGAGAGAGAGAUUGCAGGUAGUUUAUUUUGACUGGAGAGAGAAGAUGAUUUGGGCUGGAGCGAGAGGAAGUAGGUAGCUGUUUUGGACUGGAGAGAGAGGCACUAGGUAAUUGAUUUGGACUGGAGAAAGAGGAAGUUGGUAAUUGAUUUGGACUUAAGAAAUAGGAGGUUGUAGGUAGCUGAUUUAGGACUGGAGAGAGAGUAAGUAGGAAGAUGAUUUGGACUGGAGAGAGUGGAAGUAGGCAGCUAAUUUGGCCUGGAGAAAGAAGAGGUUGUAAGUGGCUGAUUUGAGACUGGAUAGAGGGGAAGUAGGUAGUUGAUUUGGACUGGGGAAAGAGGAAGUAGGUAGCGGAUUUGGACUGGAGAGAGUGGAAGUAGGUAGCUGAUUUGGACUGGUGAGAGACGAAGUAUGCGGCUGAUUUGGACUGGAGAAAGAGGAAGUAGGUAGCUGAUUUGGACUGUAGAGAGAAGCGGUAGUUAGUAGCUGAUUUGAGACUGGAGAGAGGGGAUGUAGGUAGUUGAUUUAGACUGGAGGGAGAGGAAGUAGGUACUUUAUUUCAACUUAAGAAUGAGGAGGUUGUAGGUAGCUGAUUUUGACUUGAGCGAGAGGAAUUAGGUAGCUGAUUUGGAAUGUAGAGAGUGGAAGUAGGUACCUUAUUUGGACUUGAGAAAGAGGAAGUUUGUAGCUGAUUUUGACUGGACAUGAGUGGAGGUUGUAGGUAGCUGAUUUGGAUUGGAGAGAGAGAAAGGUUGUAGGUAUCUGAUUUUGGACUGGAGAGGGAGUAGAUUGGAAGUAGCUGAUUAUGACUGGAGAGAGAGGAAGUAGGUAGUUAAUUUGGACAGGAGAGAGAAGAAGUAGGUAGUUAAUUUGGACAGGAGAAAGAGUUAGUAGGUAAUUGAUUUGGACUUGAGAAAGAGCAGGUUGUAGGUAGCUGAUUUGGUUUGGAGAGAGAAAGGUUGUAGGUAGCUGAUUUUGGACUGGAGAGAGAGUAUACUGUAAGUAGCUGAUUUUGACUGGAGAGAGAGGAAGUAGGUAGUUAAUUUGGACUGGAGAAAGAGUUAGCAGGUAAAUUAUUUGGACUUGAGAAAGAGCAGGUUGUAGGUAGCUGAUUUUGGACUGGAUCGAGAGGAGGUUGUAAGUAGCUAAUUUUGACUGUGGAGAGAGGAAGUCGGUAGCUGAUUUGGACUGGAGAAAGAGGACAUUGGAAGUAUAUGAUUUGGACUUGAAUGAGUGGAAGUGUGUUGCUGAUUUGAACUGGAGAGAGAGGAAGUAGGUAGCUGAUUUGGACUGGAGAGAGAGAUUAGGUUGUAGGUAGCAGAUUUUGACUGGAGAGAGGGG
RNAcentral lists this long non-coding RNA (5558 nucleotides) under Salmo salar (Atlantic salmon). RNAcentral's name for it is "lncRNA (ENSSSAG00000086769.1)". The record is from RNAcentral. Lineage: Eukaryota; Metazoa; Chordata; Actinopteri; Salmoniformes; Salmonidae.